RNAcentral lists this signal recognition particle RNA (98 nucleotides) under Fibrobacter sp. RNAcentral's name for it is "signal recognition particle sRNA small type". It matches the Rfam family "Bacterial small signal recognition particle RNA". Rfam says of the family: The signal recognition particle (SRP) is a universally conserved ribonucleoprotein involved in the co-translational targeting of proteins to membranes. The record is from RNAcentral. Lineage: Bacteria; Pseudomonadati; Fibrobacterota; Fibrobacteria; Fibrobacterales; Fibrobacteraceae.
GCCUAGACCCUACGCAAUGAUCUUUUGUAGGUAACUCGCCAGGGCGAAAGCAGCAACGGACUUAUGAAUUUUUAUGUGCUGUAGGUAGUCUAGGUAUU